GAGCCCGUAGCUCAGCACGGAUAGAGCACAGCCCUCCUAAGGCUGGGGUCGAGGGUUCGAAUCCCCCCGGGCUCGCCA
RNAcentral lists this transfer RNA (78 nucleotides) under archaeon. Its description in RNAcentral is "tRNA-Arg". It matches the Rfam family "tRNA". Rfam says of the family: Transfer RNA (tRNA) molecules are approximately 80 nucleotides in length. Their secondary structure includes four short double-helical elements and three loops (D, anti-codon, and T loops). RNAcentral also lists the same sequence under 3 other names. The record is from RNAcentral.